Tyto alba (common barn owl) is the source of this 398-nucleotide long non-coding RNA. RefSeq lists it as uncharacterized. The record is from RefSeq and is a predicted model, not a curated record. NCBI's taxonomy places the organism in Eukaryota, Metazoa, Chordata, Aves, Strigiformes, Tytonidae. The transcript has 2 exons.
GGCGAGACGAGGAGGACGGCCAGGAGGGCGAUGGAGACGAGCAGGAUCUGCAAGUUAUUUCGGCGCCGGUGCAACACCAAGAGAGAAUGCUUUUCAGUGAAACUGUUCACGUUCAAGGAUUUGAUCAAGUGAGAGGGUAACACCACACGGGGGGAGGAGCCCCGAGCCUUGCCAAGCCGCCGCCGCCGCUGAAAUACACCGCCGAGUCACCAGCCGCGCCGCGCCGGGGGCCGGGAGCGGGGCCGGGGGCGGGAGCGGGACACCGCGCCGCGCCGAAUCAGCUGGAGCAUCACCCAGCCGGUCCUCCCGAUUUGGUACGUGUGCUCCUGCCGGAGACAAAGCAGCCGUCAUCCGCUGCCUCUCCUGGUGUAUAUUUACAUACACUCGUGUUUACAGCA